RNAcentral lists this ribosomal RNA (771 nucleotides) under uncultured bacterium. RNAcentral describes it as "bacterial SSU rRNA". It matches the Rfam family "Bacterial small subunit ribosomal RNA", at positions 575 to 1347 of the family's 1533-position model. The record is from RNAcentral.
GUGGUUUGUCGCGUCGUCUGUGAAAUUCCGGGGCUUAACUCCGGGCGUGCAGGCGAUACGGGCAUAACUUGAGUGCUGUAGGGGAGACUGGAAUUCCUGGUGUAGCGGUGAAAUGCGCAGAUAUCAGGAGGAACACCGAUGGCGAAGGCAGGUCUCUGGGCAGUAACUGACGCUGAGGAGCGAAAGCAUGGGUAGCGAACAGGAUUAGAUACCCUGGUAGUCCAUGCCGUAAACGGUGGGCGCUAGGUGUAGGGGGCUUCCACGUCUUCUGUGCCGUAGCUAACGCAUUAAGCGCCCCGCCUGGGGAGUACGGCCGCAAGGCUAAAACUCAAAGGAAUUGACGGGGGCCCGCACAAGCGGCGGAGCAUGUGGAUUAAUUCGAUGCAACGCGAAGAACCUUACCUGGGCUUGACAUACACCAGAUCGCUGCAGAGAUGUAGUUUCCCUUGUGGUUGGUGUACAGGUGGUGCAUGGUUGUCGUCAGCUCGUGUCGUGAGAUGUUGGGUUAAGUCCCGCAACGAGCGCAACCCUUGUCUUAUGUUGCCAGCAUUUGGUUGGGGACUCAUGAGAGACUGCCGGGGUUAACUCGGAGGAAGGUGGGGAUGACGUCAAAUCAUCAUGCCCCUUAUGUCCAGGGCUUCACACAUGCUACAAUGGUCGGUACAACGCGCAGCGACACUGUGAGGUGGAGCGAAUCGCUGAAAGCCGGCCUUAGUUCGGAUUGGGGUCUGCAACUCGACCCCAUGAAGUCGGAGUCGCUAGUAAUCGCAG